UACGUAGGGUGCAAGCGUUAAUCGGAAUUACUGGGCGUAAAGCGUGCGCAGGCGGUGAUGUAAGACAGGUGUGAAAUCCCCGGGCUUAACCUGGGGACUGCAUUUGUGACUGCAUUGCUGGAGUGCGGCAGAGGGGGAUGGAAUUCCGCGUGUAGCAGUGAAAUGCGUAGAUAUGCGGAGGAACACCGAUGGCGAAGGCAAUCCCCUGGGCCUGCACUGACGCUCAUGCACGAAAGCGUGGGGAGCAAACAGG
RNAcentral lists this ribosomal RNA (253 nucleotides) under uncultured bacterium. Its description in RNAcentral is "partial 16S ribosomal RNA". It matches the Rfam family "Bacterial small subunit ribosomal RNA", at positions 524 to 776 of the family's 1533-position model. The record is from RNAcentral.